UACGGAGGGUGCAAGCGUUAAUCGGAAUUACUGGGCGUAAAGCGCACGCAGGUGGCUGAGUCAGUCGAUUGUGAAAGCCCUGGGCUUAACCUGGGAAUUGCAGUCGAUACUACUCAGCUAGAGUAUGGGAGAGGGUAGUGGAAUUCCCGGUGUAGCGGUGAAAUGCGCAGAUAUCAGGAGGAACACCGGUGGCGAAGGCGGGUCUCUGGGCAGUAACUGACGCUGAGGAGCGAAAGCGUGGGGAGCGAACAGG
This 253-nucleotide ribosomal RNA is filed under the name uncultured bacterium. Its description in RNAcentral is "partial 16S ribosomal RNA". It matches the Rfam family "Bacterial small subunit ribosomal RNA", at positions 524 to 776 of the family's 1533-position model. The record is from RNAcentral.